Molecule: transfer RNA, 73 nt
Filed under: Ursus americanus (American black bear)
Lineage: Eukaryota; Metazoa; Chordata; Mammalia; Carnivora; Ursidae
Also listed under: 2 other names
Rfam family: tRNA
About the family: Transfer RNA (tRNA) molecules are approximately 80 nucleotides in length. Their secondary structure includes four short double-helical elements and three loops (D, anti-codon, and T loops).
Source: Rfam by way of RNAcentral
GCCUAGCUGGCUCAGUUGGUAGAGCAUGUGACUCUUGAUCCUGGGGUCGUAAGUUCGAGCCCCACAUUAGGUG